UUGUCAACAUAUCAAGCCCAGCAGAGGAAGAAAAAGAGCUGAAGUACCUCGGGUACUUGAGCUAAAACCGCACAGGAAGUCGCAAACUGAAGGAGCUCACUCUACCGCCAGACCCAGAGUGAUGUGCGUUUCACCGCGUGAGGCGGGGUGAGCCCGACAGUGGCCUCCUCUCUCUCCUCACUUUCAUGCAAGGUCUGGGAAUGAAAGAAAAGAAUGAUUCUUCAGUGUCUCUCCCUCAUCAGGACUGUAUCUUAAAUGUUCUGCAAGUGAAGGGCCGUGGACCAGACCUUCUGUUACUUAGGAAGAAAGGCCCCCCAACCUCCCUAGCACACUUUCAUCUCGCCCUCGCAAUCCCAGUGUUGGUAACGUCGAACAACCGAGACUUCUCUGCGGCAGUGUUCUGCACCAAAAUCCACCGCGACCACGGCGGCAACACUCCAUUCUCUCCGAUUGAAGGUUGGCGGCAACCCUGCAGCAAGCAAGUCUAUCGGUGCCAUUUUUCCAGCAGCAUUUGCUCACUUCACAUCUCUGUGCACAUUUUGGUGAUUCUCACAAUACUUCAAACUUGUUCUUUAUUGUCAUAUUUGUUAUGGUGAUCUGCCUGCCGUAAGUCAUCUUUAAUGUUACUACUGUCAUUGUUUUGGGGUGCCACAAAGUGUUCCCAUAGAAGACGGUGAACGUAAUGGAAAAAUGGGUGUCUUCUGACUACUCCAUCAACCAGCCAUUCCCCUCUCCUAGGGCCCCCCUAUACCUUGAGACACAACAAUAUUGAAAUUAGGCCAAUUACCAAUCCUCCAAUGGCCUUUAAGCGUUUAAGUAAAAGGAAGUCACAAAUCUCUCAGUUUAAAUCAAAAGCUGGAAAUGAUUAAAUUUAGUGACGAAGGUGUGUCAAAAGCCAAGAUAAGCCAAAAGCUAGGCCUACUGCACCAAAGAGCUAGCCAAGCUGUGAGUGCAAAAGAAAAGUUCUUGAGGUUCCUGAAAUUAAAUGUGCACUCCAGUGGGCACAUGAAUGAUAAGAAAACAGCCUUCUUGCUGAUAUGGAGAAGGUCAUAGUGGUCUGGACAGAAGAUCUAAUCAGCCACAACAUUCCCUUAGGCUUAAGCCUAACCCAGAGCAAGACCUAACUCUGCAAUUCUGUGAAGACAGAGAGAAGUGGGGAAGCUGCAGAAGAAAAGUGCGAAGCCAGCGGUUUGGUUCAUGAGGUUUGAGGAGAGAAGCCAUCUCCAUGACACAAAAGUGCCAGGUGAAGUGGCAAGUGCUGACGUAGAAGCUACAGCGAGUUACCCAGAAGAUGUGGCUCAGAUCAUCAAUGAAGGUGGCUACACUAAAUGGCAGAUUCUCAGUGUAGAUGAAACAGCCUUACAUUAGAAAAAGAUGCCACGUAGAACCUUUAUAGAUGGAAAGAAGUCAGUGCCUGGCUUAACGUCUUCAAAGGACAAGCUGACCCUCUUGUUAGGAGCUAAUGCAACUGAUGACUUUAUGUUGAAGCCAAUACUCUUAAUCAUUCCAAAAUUCCUUGGGCCCUUCAGACUUACACUAAAUCUACUCUGCCUGUGCCCUAUAAAUGGAACAACAAAGCCUAGACCAGGGGACACCUGUUUACAACAUGGUUUACUGAAUAUUUUUAGCCCACAUUUGAAACCUAUUGCUCAGGGGGAAAAAAAAAAAGAUUCCUUUCAAAAUGCUAUUGCUCACUGAUAAC
Long non-coding RNA from Camelus dromedarius (Arabian camel), 1702 nucleotides. RefSeq lists it as uncharacterized. The record is from RefSeq and is a predicted model, not a curated record. Lineage: Eukaryota; Metazoa; Chordata; Mammalia; Artiodactyla; Camelidae. The transcript has 3 exons.